GUAUUGAUUGCGUGUUAUCGCAAAAAUGGGGUCAUUCUACACUUUUAAAAGGGGGGGUUUGUGUGAAAACGCAAGCCCCCUCCCGGAUCAGUUUGAUCCUGAAGGGUGCCCACGCGGUGGUGCACAAAAGGGUGAGAUGGAUUUAAUGUGAGAGGACACACUCUGACGUGCACGACUUUUGUGUUAAAAGUCAGCGACAGCCCUUGCGUGCCUCACACAUUUUGUACGAUAAUGAUCCUUCCGCAGGUUCACCUACGGAAA
Molecule: unclassified non-coding RNA, 261 nt
Filed under: uncultured fungus
Lineage: Eukaryota; Fungi
Description: sequence contains ITS1
Source: RNAcentral